UUAUACUCAAGUAAUUAUAUUCAAAACGUGCUUAUGCAGACGUUACCGUUGAUGUCGCUUUAAGAAAAUUUCCCUCGCUUGGCUAGAGUGGUUCAGUUUAGGCGAUUGAUGCGGACGUGCUCUGACGGAACCUCGCACGGUUUUCAACGCGGAGUCUGUUUUGGAGUUAAUAUUUCUCAGCCUGCUAAAAAUGCUUGCGUCAGACUGGCUGGUCUAAGUUAACGUUCGUUGGCCUGCAGGAUGGAGCUGACUAGAAUGUCUACAGCUAACUUAAUAAAGGAGUUAAUACAAUUUGGUAUCGAAGUCACUGAAGAGGAGAGGAAAAAGUUGAAGGUGAGUAACGUUAUGCUGUUACAUUUUUUAAAAGUUUGAAGUGUGUACUUGAGGAUUUUCAAGCUACUUAGACGUUUUACAUUUUGAGGCAAAUUUUCCCGCCUUUGCGAGUAUGACAACAUUUUGUAAUGGGCAGCAGGAGAGUUGCCCAACGCACUCCUUAUCACACAGACAUUUUGUGUAACGUUAGAUACAGCAAAGCAACUUGAUUAAUUAAGUAAAAGGACAGCAUCCGAGCGAAUAUUUAUUCGUUACAAACAUGACAGUAACGUUAAUUUCAGAUGUUUGUAAGCGGGGGAGGUGUCUCUCUCACUUUUAAAAUUUAAAUUCGUCUCCUGUAACGUUAGUUUUUUUUUUUUCGGUAACGUGUGUUCACGGAGAGAUUUUAUUUUUCUGCAGUCUUUUUAUUCAUAUCCCAAAUGAAUUAAGCGCUGAACACUCUAAUGCAGGGAUCUCCAACCCUGCUCCUGGAGAGCUACCGUCCUGCAGACUUCAGUUCCAGCCCUGCUCCAACACACCUGUCUGUAAUUAUCAAGUAGCCCUGAACACCUUGAUUAGCUGCUUCAGGUGUGUUUGAUUGGGGUUGGAGCUGAAAUCUGCAGGACAGUAGCUCUCCAGGAGCAGGGUUGGAGACUAAUGCAUUGUGUUUUUACUCAUACUUAAUAUAUAGAAUAUCAAUUAUUUUAUUUAUUUAUUUAUUUUUUAUCCAGCAGUGUAUUUGAUUUCUUAAACAAUAAACGUUAAUAGGAAAAGCUUCAAAAACACUGGUUUAGUACAUGCUUCAGUUUGAUGGGUAAUUAAAUGAUACUUUUCUUCUUUUUUGUGUUAUAGACAAUGAUGUGGAUGGAGGGACUGUUGACAUCGGACUGACUGAGUCAAUGAUUUCAUUCCUUUUUGAGGGAUCAUUUAAAAAACAAGCAAAAUUUCAUCGGUUUGUUCAGCAGAUGAAGGAGACCGUGACAUUAACUCUUGAACCUGUGCCUGUAGAAAGCCAGUCAAGAGCUGGAGCAAGUAAUAUCAGCCCAUCAACAGCUUUCCCUGCAUUUUUUGAAGUUCCGAAGUUUCCAUUUGAUGUUCAGGCCAAGUUGGACCGAAAAGAAUGCAGACUAACGUCAUCAGACCGAAACAAAAUUAUUAGAACGUUGUAUGAAAGCAUGGCUCAGUACAAAAUGUAUUUCUCAUUACCUAUACCUGUUUUAAUUGCUUACAUUCCAUUUUAUACAACAUUUAAUGCUACACUCAUGUGUUUAAAAUAUUUUUGUAGGUAUCCAACUACAGAAGAGUAUGUUCAAGUGGCUAAGGCCCUGACUCUGAGG
Carassius gibelio (silver crucian carp) is the source of this 1649-nucleotide long non-coding RNA. RefSeq lists it as uncharacterized. The record is from RefSeq and is a predicted model, not a curated record. NCBI's taxonomy places the organism in Eukaryota, Metazoa, Chordata, Actinopteri, Cypriniformes, Cyprinidae. The transcript has 3 exons.